AACGGCGAGUGAAGCGGCAAGAGCUCAAAUUUGAAAUCUGGCCUCCUCCGGGGGUCCGAGUUGUAAUUUGCAGAGGAUGCUUCGGGUGCGGCCCCCGUCUAAGUUCCUUGGAAUAGGACGUCAGAGAGGGUGAGAAUCCCGUCUUGGGCGGGCGGCCCGCGCCCGUGUGAAGCUCCUUCGACGAGUCGAGUUGUUUGGGAAUGCAGCUCUAAGCGGGUGGUAAAUUUCAUCUAAAGCUAAAUAUUUGCCGGAGACCGAUAGCGCACAAGUAGAGUGAUCGAAAGGUUAAAAGCACCUUGAAAAGGGAGUUAAACAGCACGUGAAAUUGUUGAAAGGGAAGCGCUUGCGGCCAGACUCGGGGGCGGGGUUCAGCGGGCGCUCGUCGCCCGUGCACUCCCCGCGCCCCGGGCCAGCAUCAGUUUCGACGGUCGGUCAAAGGCCCCCGGAAUGUGUCGUCUCUAGGGACGUCUUAUAGCCGGGGGUGCAAUGCGGCCCGUCGGGACUGAGGAACGCGCUUCGGCUCGGAUGCUGGCGUAAUGGCCGUAAGCGGCCCGUCUUGAAACACGGACCAAGGAGUCUAACAUCCACGCGAGUGUUCGGGUGUCAAACCCGUGCGCGCAGUGAAAGCGAACGGAGGUGGGAGCCUUUGGGCGCACCAUCGACCGAUCCUGAAGUCUUCGGAUGGAUUUGAGUAGGAGCGUGGCCGUUGGGACCCGAAAGAUGGUGAACUAUGCCUGAAUAGGGUGAAGCCAGAGGAAACUCUGGUGGAGGCUCGCAGCGGUUCUGACGUGCAAAUCGAUCGUCAAAUUU
Molecule: ribosomal RNA, 810 nt
Filed under: Trichophyton concentricum
Lineage: Eukaryota; Fungi; Ascomycota; Eurotiomycetes; Onygenales; Arthrodermataceae
Description: eukaryotic LSU rRNA
Rfam family: Eukaryotic large subunit ribosomal RNA
Source: RNAcentral